Molecule: long non-coding RNA, 8317 nt
Filed under: Populus trichocarpa (black cottonwood)
Lineage: Eukaryota; Viridiplantae; Streptophyta; Magnoliopsida; Malpighiales; Salicaceae
Description: long non-coding RNA (PTRI_LNC000579)
Source: RNAcentral
CUGUUUAGCGAGUAAACCUUUCGAUUUAAUAAGAAAUAUUUGAAAUCAUGUAUAAAAGGUGGAGAGAAAAUUUCCCAUCAAGAAGUUCAGGUUGAAAUGAUCCCGCGGCAAUAUAGAAUAAAUUAAAAAAGAGUACAUUUGUAGUGGAUUUGACUUUGAAACGUUGUGGGCUUUGAAGUUCCAGAGUUUAUAUGGAUCAAAUUAGAUUCCUCUCAGUUUUGUUUUCUGAAAUACCAAGGGCUGCAAAUUUGAGAUGAAAUAAAUCUAGAAUAGUGUCCGGAUAUUUCAAGUCAGUUUUGCAUCGCCAGCUACUUCAAAUUUUAUUGAUAAAUAAAUUCUAGCCAAUGCUCUGACAUCCGGUCAAGCAUUUAUCACAAUACUUCUAAACAACUGCAUGAAUUUCAGUAUAUACUUUGAAAAUCUAAAGAUCCUGAAAAGAAAAUUAACAAAAAUCUACCCUCAAUUCCUGCUACAAGAGGCCAGUAUGAGUAUUAAACUCAGGUCUCUGAUGGAGGGAACCAAGUAUUAGGAUGAACUAGAAGUAGGGACUGUGAUAUAGUUUUAAUAAUACUGCCCAUCACAGCCUCAUCUAAAUAACAAGAACUAAAAAUUGGCACAUGUAUAUAUCCUAUCCAAAUUAAAAAUGAGAAACCAAAAAAACCAACAGUUACCUUUAAUGGCACAUGAAAGAUCUAUACACAAUAGUAUGUACAUGAACAUCGGGAUUGAAAAUGAUGAAGAUGAUAUACGAACUUACCGACAGCGACCUGAAUCACUGAUGAUCGAUUGCGGAUGCAGCGUUCUCCAUCUAUCCUCCCAUCUCCAUGGUACCCCUUGGGGCAAGAACAUGUAUAAUUCCCUUCGGUGUCGAUGCAUGUGUGGCUGCAAUUGUGGGCUACUUUUGGAUCUGAACAUUCAUUAAUGUCUGCAGAAGCAUCAUAAAGAGAAGCCUUUACGUAAAAGUAUAGUAAAUUCUCAUAAUUUCAAGUAAUCCAAUCUCGAAAAUCAGAUUAGAGAUCUCCUCGAAAUCAAUUACAAAUAAUUUAACUUUCUCUUUAUGUAAGUAAAAAAUUAUAAAAAAAAGGGAUAAAAUUAAGAAAAAGAAAUGCAUACUUUGGCAACCAUUUGGGAGGUAUGGAUUUCCUUGAUAGCCAUCUAAGCAUUUGCAAAUGUACCCAGACCCAUUUUCAGGGUCAUGACAUUUGCUCUGUCCUUGACAUGCAUUAGACAUCUUGUUCUUUUCCAAGGUUUCGCAGUUAUUGCGCCCAAUACUCCAAUCCACUAUAAUAGGAACCUUACUUGCUCCAAAUCCGACAGGUUACUUGGAAAAAAGCUGAACCGCUUUUCUUCAAUCAUGAAGGCAAAGCUGCAAGGAUUGAAUUCCCAGAUUCCCGUAUGAUUAUUGUAACUAGACAAGCUCACGUCGAAGUACUUAAUUCCUUUGGCAAGGGAGGUUUGGCAGCAACCAAUUCCGGAGCAUGUGUUUGGUACAUAUUUUUUGUUGCUACAUUUGGAAAGGCAUCCUACCAGGUAUGUAUCAUUCUUGUCUUCUCGCCUACCUAGCAUUGCAGCUAAAGUAUCACAGCCGAUAGCGACGAACACAUUGUCAGUGUCAGAAAAAACGUACGGACCUUGGACGGGUAGGUUUAUCCAGGGUCUGUUUCUCCUUGUUCGUGCACCUGCCCGAUUAUAGCAGUCCUUAGCUAUAUAUUGCAUGAGGCGUAGCUUCCCAUCAAGGGUUAUUUCUGUGACACUCAAGUUAGUAUUUCCUAUAAACGCUUUUGGAGGAUUGAAAGUAUGGUUGCAAGUUAUGAGGAACUGAGGGUCGUAGUAGCAAUCUUCUCCCGUGCCGAAUGGAUAUGGGAUACUAACAUUCCCACAUCUAUCUUCUUGGCAUCCAGGCUUCGCUAUAGGAAGCUGUGUUGCUGCUGUAACUGCUGCUAACAACACUCCUGUUAUUGUGAACUGGAAGGCCAUUCCUCGAAUUCUCAUGACAGCUACUUUUCUGUUUAAUUAGAAUGGAGUCGGGUGGUGCAAAACUCACUGUGGCAGCUAGCCUUUUUUAUAAAGCAAAGUACCACGAUAUUGGUCGAUGGAAGACCAAAUUAUUAGCAUUUUUUAUAAAGCAAAUAAAUGGAAAUUGUGAAAAUAAAAAGAUAGGAACUCGUGAUCAUUUGAUUAUCAAGAUUUUGAUAUCAUAUCAAAGAACGAUCUCAAUUCAAUAACUUAAGAUGUUAAUUAAAGUUUUAAAAUAUAAUAUAUAUUAUUCUUGAACAUAAAAGAGCGUGUGGUAGUGGACUUGCAAGCAAGAACUUACUAGAAUUAAAGCUUUUUAAUUCUAUCAAGUUUUUGUAUUUUAAAAGUAUUUUUAAAAUAAAUUUAAUUUUUUUGUUUCAAAUUAAUUUUUUUAAUAUUUUUAUAUUAUUUUGAUGUGUUGGUGUUAAAAAUAAUUUUUAAAAAUAAAAAUUAUUAUUUUAAUAUAUUUUUAAAUAAAAAUAUUUUUUUAAAAAAACUCAUAUUACCUAUUGGACUAUACCUAUUACACUAUGAAGUAUCUUCUAAGUCAAGCCGUCUAAUUUUAAAUAUGGAAAUGUCAGUAUAUUUUUUCCUUGAAAAAUCUCAUUAAAAAAUCCCCAAACUGUGAGGUUAAUUUCACUUAGGUCCUGGUGUCUUUAUAAUUUCAAGAAAUAUCAUGGCAAGUUAAUUUUAAGAAAUUGUAUGGCAAAUAAAGUGGAUGUGUGACCUUGACUUGAUAGGCAUCUUUUCAAGUCAGCCAGGUUCCACCUUCACGGUCUAAUCCUGCGGGGCCCACUUGUGGAAUUUACAUGCACCUGCCGUGUGGGAGAGGUUUGUGUACGAGUAGCUGUCUGCUGAAAAUCAUACGCUGGUGAAACAGUUAACGAAUUAUCUCACGCGUGACACAAACCCCUUUGAAAUUAAAAUCAACUGUUUUAGCCCGAAGGAACACUUGUUACUUGGCCAUUGAACCUUUGCUAAUCUCUCACAAUCAACAAAAGUGAAAAGAUUCUUGAAAAAAAAUCGAGAAACAAUCUCUAGUGGGGUGCUUUUAUAGAGAAUAUGGUAGCCUGAAAGAAAGUAAUGUGAAAAAGAAAACGUUUUUCUUUUUAAAUAAAAAGUUGUCAUUUCAACUUACUUUUACUUUUCCUACUCUCAUAUUUAAUCCUUUUGUAAACGACCAAACUAAAUUCUUCUCUGCAAAAUCAAGAACUAAAUUCUUGCUGAUAUUUAGCAGUGCAACAUUCAGAAUCUCACCAGCCUGAUAAGCUAAAACCAAGCAACGAGUUCAAAGAUCUCGUUAGACUAAUAAACAAAUAGCUUCGACUGGACGGGUUUCUUACAAGAAUCAACCGAAGCAUAAAUCCGAGGUUGCCUACUCAAUUUGAAGAGACGGUUGCGUUUCACGUUCAGGGGCUCUGCUUGGUUUUAAUUAAUAAAAAUUGUAGAUGAACUAAUCGAAAUAUUAUCUUAAGCUUUUUUUUGUGAAAAAAAAACAUGUGUACAGGUAUUAAUUCUACAAAAGUAUACAGUUCAGGAACUCCGUUGAUUUUUAAUCAAUUCAUUAAAAAAAAAGAAAAAAGAAGAAGCUCCAGCCGCAAUCCAGCAAACAUGAAACAUCAACUAUACAAGGAAACAAACAGAUCCUUUCUUCUUUUAUAUAUAUAUAUAUAUAUAUAUAUAUAUAUAUAUAAUAUAUAUAUAUAUAUAUAUAUAUAUAUAUCAUUCUGAAACCAAUAAAUGAAACUGGUUAAGAAAAAAACUGAAAAAGAAACCAAUUAAUAAUGAAUAUCCUCUUGAAGAGAAGAGAAAAACAAACAAAGAAAAGAAAGAUUCGUAUGAACAGCACAACAAUUUAAGGAGGCAUGCACACACAAUUUCACAGAAAUAUAAAACAAUCCAAGGAAAUGAGAGGAUUGUCGAUGUCUUCCAUGGGAAUAGAGUCACUAUCUUGUUGAGCUAGUGCUUCUUUCACUGCAUCUUCAUCUAUCUUAGAGCUAAUACGAUGAAUGCAAGUCUCUCUAUUCCUCAGACAACAACUCAAUUAGUCUGGGUAUUUCAUUCUCACGGAUGUUUCUGUAUUAUUAAUGCUUCAAAAUUAUAAUUAAUUUCUCCAGAAAAUUUAAAUGCGUUUAAGUCUCCUCUCUUUGCGAACCUGGUAAAGAUUUUUUUGUCCCUUGCUUUGAAUUCGAUUAAUACAAGACGUAGACAAGGGAGAUAUAACCAAUUUCAAACGCGUUUCAUAAUUAGCAAGCCUAAAUCAAAGGCUUAGAAUUCGCCAUUGCAUAGAUUUCAGAAAGAGCAAACGUGGUUUUAAUUUUAUACAAUCUAUAAUCAUCACCAGCAACUAAAUUUAGCUUUUAAAAGUUCCUGCAUGGCAAAAACCUGAGGUGCCAAAAAUAAUUGCUCCACUUUCAUUCAAAUUAGUUUGAGAUAUUAUAUAUUUUUAUUAACGCAUAUAAUAUUUACUAUAAUUUACUAUAAUUAAUUAUUGAUCUUUUUUAUUCACAAUUAUACUUUUUUAAUUAUUCGAUAUUAAAAAACACGAUAAUAACACUUACACAUUAGUUCUUUUACAUUAAAAAAAAAUUAUUUGACCUCCAGCAAGUCGAGUUGAAUAAACAUAAUAAAACUUUGUUUUUUGUAUUUAUUGGCACAAAUAAUUCUUAAUAUAUAUUAAUUAAGAUAGGCUUUUUUUUAUAUUUAUAAUUAGGAUAAAAAAACAAAAUUUGAAAGCUUGCAUAUUUAAUUUGUUUUGCAAAAAAAAUUUAUCUGACUGACUUCGCGGAUAUAACUAGUAUAUACACGAGGAAUUGAGUUUUUUUUUUUAUUAACGUGGGUGUUCGGACCAGCUUGCACGCACCUCGACUAAUUCCACGGGCCCUGAAGUUAACGGCCAUGUAAACCUCCAGUGCCCAUCAUAUUAGCAACCAUAAAGUUCAAACCUGAAAUCACAGAAAGAACAAAUUCUUUAAUCCCAAACUCUUAUCACUAGUCAUUUACUAGUGGUGAGGGUACCCUUCUCUGCCUAUUUGAUUGUGAUUGCUGCUUUUGAUGAUUCCUACUGAUGGGUGUAUUUAUUAUAUCUUCGAUAUGCCUUUAAUUUGAUCCAUUAGUAAUCCCUGGACUACUGAGAUUUAAUUGGUGAUUUCAUUAGCUGAGAAAUGCAUUACUUAAAAGACAUGAAUUUUAUGGUUUGGUCAAAAUAAAAGUCCAAAUAUCUCUACUGCCUUGAUUUCUAAAUACCUCAUCAACUUCAGUAUCGAACUGAAUUUGUUAUACAGUUUUGUAGCUUAAGAUUAGAUAAAAAAAAAAUGUUCAAUAAUUUCUCAAUAGAGGUAUGAUAAUGGAUAUUCAGAAAUUGAGUUUAAGCUAUAUUCAUGCUUUAUCAAUUACUUAUUGAGUUAUGCAUCAGGAUUAAAGUAUUCAUUCCGAUAUGCAUUAUCUAAAUACUAAGAGUAAUAUAUAUACUUGAUGCAUGCAUAUUAAAGGAUAAGAUUACAAAAAAGUGGAAUCAAUUUCUUUAUUAAGAACUAUCAUGAUCAACGUUAGAUUUUUUUUUAGGUUUCACCGGCAAGAAAAAUUGAAUAAUGAUUUCCAUUACGGAUUUCUUUACGGAUUUCUUUUUUUGUGGUUGUCUAAAUGUCGGGGCGACAAUAAAAAUUUCCUUCCCAGAGACAUACAAUCGAAGUCCUUGUCAAUGCGCAUGGGUAACUCAUAGAUUUUACCAGGGAAGUGAAGCUCAUGGUCGCAUCAGGCCGCGAAACGUUAUUAUGAUGAAGUUAUUAGCCCUCGUUUCUUUCUGUUUCAGGUAAUAUCUAAUGAAGAAAGACUAUGUUGGAAAAACGAGUCACUAUUGGAUUACUAACAGCUCCUAAGCUUACAUGUGUUCUCAAGAAGAAAGGAAUAUCAUAGCGUGUUGCCUGUUUAGGAUAUGCUUUUCAGUGGUCAAAUGGCAUACACCAGAAUGUUUGUCCAGCAAUUUUUUUGCUUUCAGAAGGAGAUCACCGGGAAUAUUGCAUUGCAAAAUGGAGAUAGGAUAAAGAGUUUCAAUGCGGGUUGAAUAUUGGACAUACUGUCAGAAAUUCUUCGUCUUUUAAAAUUACAGGACCACUAUAACAAAAACAGAACUGGACUGAAUUAUAGAAAAGAAAAGCAUUACCAUACAAUGCUGGCAAGCUAUUAUUCAAAGCAAACUAUCAAGCGAAGCUGUGACACUAGAAUAAAAUGUUCAUCUGCCAUCUCCUUGUGAUUGCAUUAAAUAUAAACUGUGAUAUCCAGCACUUGUACCAGCCAUUUCCUCAGAACGAACAGUUUCCACUGAUUCACCAAGCAAGUACUCUGUCUCUUCUACAUCUGAUUUGUCAUUAGUCCAAGGAUGUUUUGCAGAUGUCCUUAGCCCCUCUAAUUCCAUUGCUACAUUCUUCAUGUAGGGUCUUUCCUCUCCUUUUACUCUUAAGCACUUCUUUGCAAUGUUGGCAACUCCCUUAAGCUGCCUAAUAUUAUCCUGGUUCACCAUGCAAUCCUGAAGAAUAUGGACCAGGCGAUCUUCUUUCAGUGCACAAAGAAAAUACGAUGAUAAAUUCCUCUCCCCCUCAGGCUUAUGGAAGGAAAUUGCCUUCAUCCCAGUUAGUAGUUCCACAAGAACCACUCCAAAACUGUAAACAUCACUCUUGUCCGUCAGUUGGCUUGUGUGCAAGUACUCAGGGUCUAAGUAUCCUAGAGUACCUUGCACCAUCGUUGACAAUUCAACUUGAUCCAACGGAAUUAACCUAGAAGUGCCAAAAUCUGACACUUUCGCCGUGUAACUGUUGUCCAGGAGUAUGUUUGUAGACUUGACAUCCCUAUGAAUGAUUGGCACAGAAGCUGCGGAAUGCAAAUAUGAUAGAACACCUGCAGUUUCAGAAGCUAUCUUUAAACGGAUUUCCCAGGUGAGGGCCGACACCUUACUCUUGUCGUGAAUGUGGUCAUAGAGGGUGCCAUUUGCAACAUAUUCAUAAACUAGUAAUGGGACUUCUGUCUCCAAGCAACAUCCUAGAAGCUUCACCACAUUCCUGUGAUUGAUUUGGUAAAGAACAACCACCUCAUUGAUAAACUGCUCGAUUUGGCUAUGAUCGAUUGUUUUGGACUUCUUGAUUGCAACAGUUCUUCCAUCAGUUAAAGUUCCCUUGUAAACUGUACCAAAACCUCCUCGGCCAAGAAUUCUACUUUCAUGGUACUUGUCAGUGGCUUUCUCGAGUUCUGCAGCUGAAAAGAUUUUUGCCGUUUCUGUAACGGGUCCUUCCCUUCUUGAUAGCUGCUGCUCCAGCAUUAGACCACCAUUUUGCCUAAAGAACUUCUCUUUGAGCUUCAUUAGCUUCCAUUUACUGUAUCCCCAGUACAGCCAAGUAAUUCCCAUCAACAAAGAUGUCAGUCCCGCUCCAAUUCCUACAUGUACAAGGAUGUUGAAACAUUAAUUUGUAAUUAAUUAUGUACAUUGCAGAUAAAAUUCGUCCAAAUUGAGCAAGUAUACCCGAAUGGGGUUAAGAUCAUAGGGGAAAUUAUUGCAAUUUUUUGCUUCUGUUUAGCGAGUAAACCUUUCGAUUUAAUAAGAAAUAUUUGAAAUCAUGUAUAAAAGGUGGAGGGAAAAAAAUUUCCCAUCAAGAAGUUCCGGUUGAAAUGAUCCCGCGGCAAUAUAGAAUAAAUUAAAAACGAGUACAUUUGUAGUGGAUUUGACUUUGAAAAGUUGUGGGCUUUGAAGUUCCAGAGUUUAUAUGGAUCAAAUUAGAUUCCUCUCAGUUUUGUUUUCUGAAAUACCAAGGGCUGCAAAUUUGAGAUGAAAUAAAUCUAGAAUAGUGUCUGGAUAUUUCAAGUCACUUUUGCUCGCCAGCUACUUCAAAUUUUAUUGAUAAAAUAAAUUCUAGCCAAAGCUCUGACAUCCGGUCAAGCAUUUAUCACAAUACUUCUAAACAACUGCAUGAAUUUCAGUAUAUACUUUGAAAAUGUAAGAAUCCUGAAAAGAAAAUUAACAAAAAUCUACACUCAAUUCCUGCUACAAGAGGCCAGUAUGAGUAUUAAACUUAGGUCUCUGAUGGAGGGAACCAAGUAUUAGGAUGAACUAGAAGUAGGGACUGUGAUAUAGUUUUAAUAAUACUGCCUAUCACAGCCUCAUCUAAAUAACAAGAACUAAAAAUUGGCACAUGUAUAUAUCCUAUCCAAAUUAAAAUGAGAAAACAAAAAAACAAACAGUUACCUUUAAUGGCACAUGAAAGAUCUAUACACAAUAGUAUGUACAUGAACAUCGGGAUUGAAAAUGAAGAGG